GGGUGACGACGUGAUCGUCGUCAUGAGAGAGAGAGAGACUGUGAGAGAGAGCGGCUCCGGGAAUGGAAUCAGAGGAAGAACAAGAAGCAAAUGUUAACCCAGUCGAAGAGAUUUAAGCCUCAAAUGAUUCUUUUUAAGAAUUAAUUGUGAUAAGCGGGUGAGCGAGAUUUCGUUUCUUCUUGUCAAUUUGUGCAUCUGUUAUUUGCUCUUGCUGCUGCACACUCGUUUCCUACUUUCCCAUUCUCUCUCCUCGCCAGAGAGAGAGAGAGAGAGAGAGAGAGAGACCCUGAGGAACUUGCAGUGAAAAUUUUAGUGGACCCCCUAGAAUUAAACAAGGAUGAAAUCAAAUAGACAAAAUGAAAGUGUAAUUUUCAGUUUGUGUGUGGCAUUGUCCUUGUUAUUUGUGGAUAAUAAGAUGAAACUUUCUAUUUUCAAAAUGGGCGGCUGGUUCAUGCGACUGGUUGGUUUGAGGAAGGAAAAAAAGAAACUUUCAUUUGUCAUGCUGAAUUUGCUAAAGGAAAUAACAGCCGUUGACGCAAAAAAAAGACCGGUGCACCAGACCUGAUCAGUAUGCAUUGUGAAUUUUCUAGCUUUGAGCCUUUCUGAUCAUCUCUUCAAUGGGGGAAAUUUUCUAGUUAAACCCAACUUACUUAGCCCCCCUUUUUUUCUCAUGGAUUUUAUAGGUCCUCUGAUCAGCAUAGUUAGUUGUUUAUGCAAAUCAGCUGCCUCUGGAGUAACCCAUCUCGUGACUUUGGAUCGAAGGGUUCACUCCCUCGCUACUGCCCUGAAAGAAUUGAAAGACAUGAGGGAUGAGUUGAAGAAACAGGUGGACCAUGCCGAGUCUGGGGGACUAAUGCGCACAAACCAAGUCAAAAGGUGGCUAGACAGGGUAGAGGAAAUUGAAGCUGAGGUGAGCUUGAUUGUUGAAAAAUUUGGGCAGCGGAGGCAAAUUUUUGGGUGCUGUGGUGCAAAUUGUGCUUCAAGAUGCAAGCUGAGCUGGAAAGUCCCAAAGAAGCUGAAGGAUGUAAAUGAGCUGAUGGACAAAGGAGCUUUCAAUGCCCUUGUUACUGACGGUUUGCUUCCUGUUGUUGUGGAGGAGAUGCCUUGCAGGCCGUCCGUUGGCCAGGAAGUUAUGUUGGAGAAAGUUUGCCGGUUUCUUAAAGAGGAUGAGGUUGGAGUGGUUGGGGUUUAUGGGAUCGGUGGUGUGGGAAAGACUACUCUCUUGAAGAAUAUAAACAACAGUUUUCUUACUGAAACCCAUUAUUUUGAUGUGGUGAUAUGGGUUUCGAUCUCUAAAGAUUUUGUCCCUGAAAGGGUCCAACAAACUGUUAGGGUAAGGUUGGGCUUGUCUUGGGAUGAAACUGAAUGCCGAGAACGACGCGCUUUGAAAAUAUACAGGGUUUUGAGAAGAAAAAAGUUCUUGCUAUUGUUGGAUGAUGUUUGGGAAGGGUUUGAUCUUGACGAAAUCGGAGUUCCAUUUCCUGACAGGAAAAACAAAUGCAAGGUGAUUUUCACGUCACGGUUUAAAGAAGUGUGCAGUGACAUGGAUGCUCACCGGAAGCUCAAAGUAGAAUUAUUGACAGAGAAGGAAUCGUGGAAACUCUUUGAAGAGAAGCUCGGUCAAAGGGAGAUUUUAGACUCUCGGUUGAUAAGGACUCAUGCCGGGACCAUUAUUAGAAAAUGUGGAGGUCUACCGCUUGCUCUGAUCACAAUGGGAAGAGCCAUGGCCAAUAAAGAGAGUGAAGAAGAUUGGAAGCAUGCUAUAGAAGUACUCAACAAAUGCCCGUUGGAAGUUCGAGGUAUGGAAAAUGUCUUCACUCACUUAAAAUUCAGCUUUGACAAUUUGGAGAAUGAUACAUUAAGGUUGUGCUUCUUGUAUUGUUCUCUGUUCCCUGAAGGCUGUAUCAUUGAGGAAGAACAGCUUGUAGAGUACUGGAUUGGUGAAGGUUUUCUAGACAGGCCCCAAGAUGAUAAUGCCCAUAAAAGGGGCCAUGAUGUCAUUGAAUCUCUAAAAGUUGCGUAUCUACUCGAAACUGGUAAAGAAAAAUCUCAUGUGAGGAUGCAUGAUAUCAUCCGAGGUUUUGCCCUAUGGAUUGCAUCUGAAUGUGGGAAGAAUGAGAAGAAUUUUCUAAUACAGGCAAGUGCUGGAUUGACUGAGGCACCCAGAGUUGAAGACUGGGAAAAAGCUCAGAGAAUUUCAUUAUUAGAUAAUGAAAUUUAUGCACUAUCAGAAAAACCCAAUUGUCCCAAUUUAUCAACUUUGAUGUUGCAAUGGAACAGUGGUUUGAGCAAAAUUGAUUAUGGAUUUUUCCAAUUUAUGCCCGCUCUCAAGGUCCUUGAUUUGUCAUUCACCUGUCUUAGAGAGAUCCCAGCAACUAUCAGUAAAUUAGUUGAGUUGUGUCAUCUUAAUUUGUCAGGGACUAAGGUAACCACAUUGCCCAAAGAGCUAGGAGGUCUGACAAAAUUGAGGCAUCUAGAUCUGCAGCGUGCAUAUUCUCUUAAAUCAAUUCCUCGUGAAGCAAUAUCUGGACUUUCCCAGUUGAGGGUGUUGAAUUUCUACUACAGUUAUGCAAAUUGGGAGGCGCAAGUUUAUGAGGGUGUGAAUGAAGUUGGAUUUUCUGACUUGGAACAUUUAAGACAGCUUACCACUCUUGGGAUAACAGUAACUGAAUUAACUUUCCUCAGGAGGCUCUCUGGUUUCAAAUACUUGUUGAAAUGUGUGCAGUCUCUGUACAUCACUGAAUGUUCUGGCUUAUUUCACCUGAAGUUAUCAUCAGCCUUCAAUGACGGCGAGAGACUGAGAAGGCUUAGUAUUAAUAACUGCUGUAACUUCAAGUACUUGGCAAUUGAUGCAGGGACUGAAAAGAAGUGGCUGCCAAGCUUGGAGGUUCUUGCCUUGCACCGCCUUCCCCACUUGAUUGCUGUUUGGAAGAAUCCAGUGACUACAGGAUGCCUCCGAAAUCUUCGAUCCAUAACCAUUUGGCAUUGCCAUAAAUUGAAGAAUAUUUCGUGGAUUCUGCAGCUUCCAAAGGUUGAAGCAAUUUAUUUGUUUUACUGCAAAGAAAUGGAAUGUGUUAUCGAAGAUGCAGUGGAUCAGGAAAAUUCAGCGGCAUUUCCAAGCCUUAGAACUUUGUCCAUCAGAGACCUCCCAGAGUUAAGAAGCAUCUCCCAACAGGCAUUGGCCUUUCCUUCUCUUGAGAGCUUUUCUGUGAUAGACUGUCCAAAGCUGAAGAUGCUUCCACUAAAAGCUCAUUGUAUUUCCUCAUUGCUGACAAUAUAUGGCAACAAGGAAUGGUGGGAUGGUUUGCAGUGGAAUGAAGCCUCCACCAAAUCUGCAUUCUUUCCUCACUUCAAGGCAACUUGUUGAAGCAUUAAUUUAUUUAUGAGCAUAGACCAUAUUUGAAUCUGGCACAUUCCUUGAACAGUGAUCUGAAAAGGCACAAGCUCCUCAACAUUGGGUGAUGUCCAACCUUGAUUGGCUCAAGUCAACUCCACCAGCAAAACCUUUGGAUCCAGUGAUGUGGGCAUGCAUGUAAGCCAAUGUGCACUUGGAUGACCAAAACUGUUUGUGGUUUCGUCUUCUGCAUCCUCUGCUCGGGAGUGAGAAGGAGAUGAAGAUAAAAGCUAAGAGUACACGUAAAAGCAUGAUAAUGCACGAUUUCUGAACUUGGGUGAGAUGCCAAAUCCUUUUUUCCUGUUUAUUCAAGUAUGCUAUCUAUAUGGUAACAUUUUUAAAAUUUCAAUUUCCAUACAUAUUCUUUUCAAAUUUUCACAAUUAAUUGGCUUCUUUGAAAUGAAAUGGUUACAAUCUUCAUGAUGCCAACAACCCAAGAAGGGUCAUGUCAAUAAUCGAAGGUUCUUUUUUGUGAGUGGCAAA
This is an RNA transcript of Malania oleifera, 3877 nucleotides long. It is a transcript of the gene named disease resistance protein RPS2, with no coding region annotated. The transcript has 3 exons. The record is from RefSeq and is a predicted model, not a curated record. NCBI's taxonomy places the organism in Eukaryota, Viridiplantae, Streptophyta, Magnoliopsida, Santalales, Ximeniaceae.